CCUACGGGAGGCAGCAGUGGGGGAUAUUGCACAAUGGGGGGAACCCUGAUGCAGCGACGCCGCGUGGGUGAAGAAGCGCCUCGGCGCGUAAAGCCCUGUCAGCAGGGAAGAAAAUGACGGUACCUGAAGAAGAAGCCCCGGCUAACUACGUGCCAGCAGCCGCGGGAAUACGGAGGGGGUAGGCGUUAUCCGGAUUUACUGGGUGUAAAGGGGGCGCAGAGGGCGAUGCAAGCCAGGAGUGAAAGCCCGGGGCCCAACCCCGGGACUGCUCUUGGAACUGCGGGGCUGGAGUGCAGGAGGGGCAGGCGGAAUUCCUGGUGUAGCGGUGAAAUGCGUAGAUAUCAGGAGGAACACCGGUGGCGAAGGCGGCCUGCUGGACUGCAACUGACGUUGAGGCCCGAAAGCGUGGGGAGCAAACAGGAUUAGAUACCCGAGUAGUC
Molecule: ribosomal RNA, 440 nt
Filed under: uncultured bacterium
Lineage: Bacteria
Description: partial 16S ribosomal RNA
Rfam family: Bacterial small subunit ribosomal RNA
Source: RNAcentral